AUUGAACGCUGGCGGCAUGCCUUACACAUGCAAGUCGAACGGCAGCACGGGAGCAAUCCUGGUGGCGAGUGGCGAACGGGUGAGUAAAGUAUCGGAACGUGCCCAGUCGUGGGGGAUAACGUAGCGAGAGUUACCCUAAUACCGCAUACGAUCUAUGGAUGAAAGCGGGGGAUCGCAAGACCUCGCGCGAUUGGAGCGGCCGAUAUCAGAUUAGGUAGUUGGUGGGGUAAAGGCCCACCAAGCCGACGAUCUGUAGCUGGUCUGAGAGGACGACCAGCCACACUGGGACUGAGACACGGCCCAGACUCCUACGGGAGGCAGCAGUGGGGAAUUUUGGACAAUGGGCGAAAGCCUGAUCCAGCCAUGCCGCGUGCAGGAUGAAGGCCUUCGGGUUGUAAACUGCUUUUGUACGGAACGAAAAGGACUGCCCUAAUACGGUGGUCCCAUGACGGUACCGUAAGAAUAAGCACCGGCUAACUACGUGCCAGCAGCCGCGGUAA
RNAcentral lists this ribosomal RNA (500 nucleotides) under uncultured bacterium. RNAcentral describes it as "partial 16S ribosomal RNA". It matches the Rfam family "Bacterial small subunit ribosomal RNA", at positions 30 to 523 of the family's 1533-position model. The record is from RNAcentral.